This 784-nucleotide long non-coding RNA is filed under the name Numida meleagris (helmeted guineafowl). Its description in RNAcentral is "lncRNA (ENSNMEG00000000748.1)". The record is from RNAcentral. Lineage: Eukaryota; Metazoa; Chordata; Aves; Galliformes; Numididae.
GGGGCUCUCCGUUGUGGGGCUGGGGGUCUCAGCUGUGGGGCAGUGGCUGUCACUUGUGGGUCUGGGGCUCUCACUUGUGGGGCUGGGCUCUCACUUGUAGGGCUGGGACCCUCACUUGUGGGUCCGGGCCCUCACUUGUGGGUCUGGGCUGUCACUUGUGGGUCCGGGCCCUCACUUGUGGGUCCGUGCCCUCACUUGUGGGUCUGGGCUCUCACUUGUGGGUCCGGGCCCUCACUUGUGGGUCUGGGUUCUCACUUGUGGGUCUGGGCUGUCACUUGUGUGGCUGGGGCUCUCACUUGUGGGGCUGGGGCUCUCAGCCGUGGGGCUCGGGCUGUCACUUGUGGGUCUGGGCUCUCACUUGUGGGGCUGGGCCCUCACUUGUGGGUCCGGGCCGUCACUUGUGGGUCCGGGUGUGUCACUUGUGGGUCCGGACCCCCACUUGUGGGUCUGGGCUCUCACUUGUGGGUCCGUGUCUGUCACUUGUGGGUCUGGGGCUCUCACUUCUGGGUCCAGGCUCUCACUUGUGGGGCUGGGGCUCUCACUUAUGGGGCUGGGGCUCUCAGCCGUGGGGCUCGGGCUGUCACUUGUGGGUCUGGGCUCUCACUUAUGGGGCUGGGGCUCUCACUUGUGGGUCCGGGCUCCCACUUAUGGGUCCGGCCCCCCACUUGUGGGUCUGGGCCCCCCCCAACUCACCUUGAGCUCAGCCAGCUGCAGCCUCAUUUUCUCCAGGUCCCCCCCGAGGCGAAAUCCCUGCCCCACACGUCGCUCCGCCGCCUCCACCCAC